RNAcentral lists this ribosomal RNA (305 nucleotides) under uncultured bacterium. Its description in RNAcentral is "bacterial SSU rRNA". It matches the Rfam family "Bacterial small subunit ribosomal RNA", at positions 333 to 656 of the family's 1533-position model. The record is from RNAcentral.
UGUGCCUACGGGGCGCAGCAGUGGGGGAUAUUGCACAAUGGGGGAAACCCUGAUGCAGCGACGCCGCGUGGGUGAAGAAGCGCCUCGGCGCGUAAAGCCCUGUCAGCAGGGAAGAAAAUGACGGUACCUGAAGAAGAAGCCCCGGCUAACUACGUGCCAGCAGCCGCGGUAAUACGUAGGGGGCAAGCGUUAUCCGGAUUUACUGGGUGUAAAGGGAGCGUAGACGGCCAUGCAAGCCAGGGGUGAAAGCCCGGGGCCCAACCCCGGGACUGCCCUUGGAACUGCAUGGCUGGAGUGCGGGAGGG